UUGACCCACGUCUGACAAAUUCGACCUCAAAUCAGGUAGGACUACCCGCUGAACUUAAGCAUAUCAAUA
RNAcentral lists this ribosomal RNA (69 nucleotides) under uncultured Thelephoraceae. Its description in RNAcentral is "partial 28S ribosomal RNA". Lineage: Eukaryota; Fungi; Basidiomycota; Agaricomycetes; Thelephorales; Thelephoraceae. The record is from RNAcentral.